RNAcentral lists this ribosomal RNA (458 nucleotides) under uncultured bacterium. RNAcentral's name for it is "bacterial SSU rRNA". It matches the Rfam family "Bacterial small subunit ribosomal RNA", at positions 340 to 786 of the family's 1533-position model. The record is from RNAcentral.
UACGGAAGGCAGCAGUGGGGAAUAUUGCACAAUGGGCGAAAGCCUGAUGCAGCUAUGCCGCGUGUAUGAAGAAGGCCUUAGGGUUGUAAAGUACUUUCAUCGGGGAGGAAAAACAAAACUAAUAAUUUUAUUUCUUGACGUUACCCGAAAAAGAAGCACCGGCUAACUCCGUGCCAGCAGCCGCGGUAAUACGGAGGGUGCUAGCGUUAAUCAGAAUUACUGGGCGUAAAGAGCACGUAGGUGGUUUUUUUAAGUUCAGAUGUGAAAUCCCUGGGCUUAACCUAGGAACUGCAUUUUAAAACUGAAAUACUAGAGUAUCGUAGAGGGAGGUAGAAUUCUAGGUGUAGCGGUGAAAUGCGUAGAUAUCUGGAGGAAUACCUGUGGCGAAAGCGGCCUCCUAAACCGAAUACUGACACUGAGGGUGCGAAAGCGUGGGGAGCAAACAGGGAUUAGAUACC